This 478-nucleotide ribosomal RNA is filed under the name uncultured bacterium. Its description in RNAcentral is "partial 16S ribosomal RNA". It matches the Rfam family "Bacterial small subunit ribosomal RNA", at positions 28 to 523 of the family's 1533-position model. The record is from RNAcentral.
GACGAACGCUGGCGGCGUGCUUAACACAUGCAAGUCGAACGGUAAGGCCCUUCGGGGUACACGAGUGGCGAACGGGUGAGUAACACGUGGGUGAUCUGCCCUGCACUUCGGGAUAAGCCUGGGAAACUGGGUCUAAUACCGGAUAGGACCACUGCCUGCAUGGGUGGUGGUGGAAAGCUUUUGCGGUGUGGGAUGGGCCCGCGGCCUAUCAGCUUGUUGGUGGGGUGAUGGCCUACCAAGGCGACGACGGGUAGCCGGCCUGGGAGGGUGACCGGCCACACUGGGACUGGGGGACGGCCCAGAGUCCUACGGGAGGCAGCAGUGGGGAAUAUUGCACAAUGGGCGCAAGCCUGAUGCAGCGACGCCGCGUGAGGGAUGACGGCCUUCGGGUUGUAAACCUCUUUCAGCACCGACGAAGCGCAAGUGACGGUAGGUGCAGAAGAAGGACCGGCCAACUACGUGCCAGCAGCCGCCGCCG